AAAGACUGAAGAGGAGAUAGAAGAUUACUCACAUGUAUGUGUCGCUGUCUGUUUCCAAUUUUUUUGUUUUUUUCUCUCUUCCCUCCUUUGUUAAAGUCGAC
This 101-nucleotide non-coding RNA is filed under the name Palpitomonas bilix. The record is from RNAcentral.